RNAcentral lists this ribosomal RNA (207 nucleotides) under uncultured bacterium. RNAcentral's name for it is "partial 16S ribosomal RNA". It matches the Rfam family "Bacterial small subunit ribosomal RNA", at positions 568 to 775 of the family's 1533-position model. The record is from RNAcentral.
CUCGUAGGUGGCCAACUAAGUCAGACGUGAAAUCCCUCGGCUUAACCGGGGAACUGCGUCUGAUACUGGAUGGCUUGAGUUUGGGAGAGGGACGCGGAAUUCCAGGUGUAGCGGUGAAAUGCGUAGAUAUCUGGAGGAACACCGGUGGCGAAGGCGGCGUCCUGGCCAACACUGACACUGAGGAGCGAAAGCCAGGGGAGCAAACGG